GUACCCUUAGCUCAGUUGGUUAGAGUAGACGGCUUAUAACUAUCUGAUUGUAGGUUUUAAUUCUACAGGGCACA
Molecule: transfer RNA, 74 nt
Filed under: Enterococcus hirae
Lineage: Bacteria; Bacillati; Bacillota; Bacilli; Lactobacillales; Enterococcaceae
Description: tRNA-Ile
Source: RNAcentral